AAUAGAUACCCCGGUAGUCCACGCCGUAAACGUUGGGCGCUAGGUGUGGGGGUCCUUCCACGACCUCCGUGCCGCAGCUAACGCAUUAAGCGCCCCGCCUGGGGAGUACGGCCGCAAGGCUAAAACUCAAAGGAAUUGACGGGGGCCCGCACAAGCGGCGGAGCAUGCGGAUUAAUUCGAUGCAACGCGAAGAACCUUACCAAGGCUUGACAUGCACGGGUAAGUUCCAGAGAUGGUUCCCCCGUAAGGUCCGUGCACAGGUGGUGCAUGGUUGUCGUCAGCUCGUGUCGUGAGAUGUUGGGUUAAGUCCCGCAACGAGCGCAACCCUUGUCUCAUGUUGCCAGCAAUUCGGUUGGGGACUCAUGAGAGACUGCCGGGGUCAACUCGGAGGAAGGUGGGGAUGACGUCAAAUCAUCAUGCCCCUUAUGUCUUGGGCUUCACGCAUGCUACAAUGGCCGGUACAAAGGGCUGCGAAACCGUGAGGUGGAGCGAAUCCCAAAAAGCCGGUCUCAGUUCGGAUUGGGGUCUGCAACUCGACCCC
This 541-nucleotide ribosomal RNA is filed under the name uncultured bacterium. RNAcentral's name for it is "bacterial SSU rRNA". It matches the Rfam family "Bacterial small subunit ribosomal RNA", at positions 777 to 1319 of the family's 1533-position model. The record is from RNAcentral.